This 74-nucleotide transfer RNA is filed under the name Candidatus Kaiserbacteria bacterium RIFCSPHIGHO2_01_FULL_56_24. RNAcentral describes it as "tRNA-Gly". It matches the Rfam family "tRNA". From Rfam's summary of the family: Transfer RNA (tRNA) molecules are approximately 80 nucleotides in length. Their secondary structure includes four short double-helical elements and three loops (D, anti-codon, and T loops). Further hydrogen bonds mediate the characteristic L-shaped molecular structure. tRNAs have two regions of fundamental functional importance: the anti-codon, which is responsible for specific mRNA codon recognition, and the 3' end, to which the tRNAs corresponding amino acid is attached (by aminoacyl-tRNA synthetases). tRNAs cope with the degeneracy of the genetic code in two manners: having more than one tRNA (with a specific anti-codon) for a particular amino acid; and 'wobble' base-pairing, i.e. permitting non-standard base-pairing at the 3rd anti-codon position. The record is from RNAcentral. Lineage: Bacteria; Candidatus Kaiseribacteriota.
GCGGGAUUAGUUUAGUGGCAGAACGACUGCUUCCCAAGCAGUAGAUACGAGUUCGAUUCUCGUAUCCCGCACAA